This 1554-nucleotide ribosomal RNA is filed under the name Escherichia coli. RNAcentral's name for it is "bacterial SSU rRNA". It matches the Rfam family "Bacterial small subunit ribosomal RNA". The record is from RNAcentral. Lineage: Bacteria; Pseudomonadati; Pseudomonadota; Gammaproteobacteria; Enterobacterales; Enterobacteriaceae.
AAAUUGAAGAGUUUGAUCAUGGCUCAGAUUGAACGCUGGCGGCAGGCCUAACACAUGCAAGUCGAACGGUAACAGAAAGCAGCUUGCUGCUUUGCUGACGAGUGGCGGACGGGUGAGUAAUGUCUGGGAAACUGCCUGAUGGAGGGGGAUAACUACUGGAAACGGUAGCUAAUACCGCAUAACGUCGCAAGACCAAAGAGGGGGACCUUCGGGCCUCUUGCCAUCGGAUGUGCCCAGAUGGGAUUAGCUUGUUGGUGGGGUAACGGCUCACCAAGGCGACGAUCCCUAGCUGGUCUGAGAGGAUGACCAGCCACACUGGAACUGAGACACGGUCCAGACUCCUACGGGAGGCAGCAGUGGGGAAUAUUGCACAAUGGGCGCAAGCCUGAUGCAGCCAUGCCGCGUGUAUGAAGAAGGCCUUCGGGUUGUAAAGUACUUUCAGCGGGGAGGAAGGGAGUAAAGUUAAUACCUUUGCUCAUUGACGUUACCCGCAGAAGAAGCACCGGCUAACUCCGUGCCAGCAGCCGCGGUAAUACGGAGGGUGCAAGCGUUAAUCGGAAUUACUGGGCGUAAAGCGCACGCAGGCGGUUUGUUAAGUCAGAUGUGAAAUCCCCGGGCUCAACCUGGGAACUGCAUCUGAUACUGGCAAGCUUGAGUCUCGUAGAGGGGGGUAGAAUUCCAGGUGUAGCGGUGAAAUGCGUAGAGAUCUGGAGGAAUACCGGUGGCGAAGGCGGCCCCCUGGACGAAGACUGACGCUCAGGUGCGAAAGCGUGGGGAGCAAACAGGAUUAGAUACCCUGGUAGUCCACGCCGUAAACGAUGUCGACUUGGAGGUUGUGCCCUUGAGGCGUGGCUUCCGGAGCUAACGCGUUAAGUCGACCGCCUGGGGAGUACGGCCGCAAGGUUAAAACUCAAAUGAAUUGACGGGGGCCCGCACAAGCGGUGGAGCAUGUGGUUUAAUUCGAUGCAACGCGAAGAACCUUACCUGGUCUUGACAUCCACAGAACUUUCCAGAGAUGGAUUGGUGCCUUCGGGAACUGUGAGACAGGUGCUGCAUGGCUGUCGUCAGCUCGUGUUGUGAAAUGUUGGGUUAAGUCCCGCAACGAGCGCAACCCUUAUCCUUUGUUGCCAGCGGUCCGGCCGGGAACUCAAAGGAGACUGCCAGUGAUAAACUGGAGGAAGGUGGGGAUGACGUCAAGUCAUCAUGGCCCUUACGACCAGGGCUACACACGUGCUACAAUGGCGCAUACAAAGAGAAGCGACCUCGCGAGAGCAAGCGGAUCUCAUAAAGUGCGUCGUAGUCCGGAUUGGAGUCUGCAACUCGACUCCAUGAAGUCGGAAUCGCUAGUAAUCGUGGAUCAGAAUGCCACGGUGAAUACGUUCCCGGGCCUUGUACACACCGCCCGUCACACCAUGGGAGUGGGUUGCAAAAGAAGUAGGUAGCUUAACCUUCGGGAGGGCGCUUACCACUUUGUGAUUCAUGACUGGGGUGAAGUCGUAACAAGGUAACCGUAGGGGAACCUGCGGUUGGAUCACCUCCUUACCUUAAAGAAGC